RNAcentral lists this ribosomal RNA (468 nucleotides) under uncultured bacterium. RNAcentral's name for it is "partial 16S ribosomal RNA". It matches the Rfam family "Bacterial small subunit ribosomal RNA", at positions 28 to 507 of the family's 1533-position model. The record is from RNAcentral.
GACGAACGCUGGCGGCGUGCUUAACACAUGCAAGUCGAACGGAAAGGCCCUGCUUUUGUGGGGUGCUCGAGUGGCGAACGGGUGAGUAACACGUGAGUAACCUGCCCUUGACUUUGGGAUAACUUUAGGAAACUGGGGCUAUUACCGGAUAGGAGCUCCUGCUGCAUGGUGGGGGUUGGAAAGUUUCGGCGGUUGGGGAUGGAUUCGCGGCUUAUCCGCUUGUUGGUGGGGUAGUGGCUUACCAAGGCUUUGACGGGUAGCCGGCCUGAGAGGGUGACCGGCCACAUUGGGACUGAGAUACGGCCCAGACUCCUACGGGAGGCAGCAGUGGGGAAUAUUGCACAAUGGGCGGAAGCCUGAUGCAGCAACGCCGCGUGCGGGAUGACGGCCUUCGGGUUGUAAACCGCUUUCGCCUGUGACGAAGCGUGAGUGACGGUAAUGGGUAAAGAAGCACCGGCUAACUACGUG